AGUAACGAAGUAAAAAUUUACUAUUAGUUUCGACCUAAUAAUAAGGAUAUAUCCUCAUACUUUUA
This 65-nucleotide transfer RNA is filed under the name Corythucha ciliata (sycamore lace bug). RNAcentral describes it as "tRNA-Arg". Lineage: Eukaryota; Metazoa; Arthropoda; Insecta; Hemiptera; Tingidae. The record is from RNAcentral.